AAAAAAAAAAAUCUAGAUCUGCCACUGCCAAGACCCAUGCACCUUUACAUAACACAAGGCUACAUAGUCUUAACAGAUAAAGAUAAAGCCUUAGACCAUAUAAUGCAUAGGCAGUAAGACAAUAACUAAUAAAUUAUAUUUUUCCAGCAACAUUUUUGAUAAUUUUUUUUGAAAAAUCAGUUUCAACUUUAAAGAAUGUCUUUUCAAUUUGUGUAAGUCAUAUACCAUUUGCAAUCCAAUAUGCAUACAUAAAAGGUGAAGAAAAAUCAUUUGAAACACUCAAUUCAAUAUGGUUUACAUUUUCCAAAGCAGAAGAAUCAUAAUGUCAGUUAUAAGAGAAAACAUUUAUGCUAGCAGAACUCAUAUUUCUGAGUUAAUUGAAUUUUGGAAGGGAGACAAUAUACUAGAAAGCAAUAGAAGUUUGGCACAUUAAAUCAACUUCAAGCAAUUCCACAAAACG
This 460-nucleotide unclassified non-coding RNA is filed under the name Hevea brasiliensis (rubber tree). The record is from RNAcentral. Lineage: Eukaryota; Viridiplantae; Streptophyta; Magnoliopsida; Malpighiales; Euphorbiaceae.